RNAcentral lists this ribosomal RNA (819 nucleotides) under uncultured bacterium. RNAcentral describes it as "bacterial SSU rRNA". It matches the Rfam family "Bacterial small subunit ribosomal RNA", at positions 59 to 916 of the family's 1533-position model. The record is from RNAcentral.
CAGUCGUACGAGGGUUUUUAACUUUAGUGGCGGACGGGUGAGUAACACGUGAGAAUUUGCCUUUAGGAGGGGGAUAACAAUCGGAAACGAAUGCUAAUACCCCAUAUGCUUUUGAGUGAAAUGGAUUUAUCCGCCUAAAGAGAAGCUCGCGGCUGAUUAGCUUGUUGGUAAGGUAAGAGCUUACCAAGGCGACGAUCAGUAUCUGGUUUGAGAGGACGAUCAGACACACUGGAACUGAGACACGGUCCAGACUCCUACGGGAGGCAGCAGUGGGGAAUUUUCCGCAAUGGGCGAAAGCCUGACGGAGCAAUACCGCGUGAGGGAAGACUGCCUAUGGGUUGUAAACCUCUUUUUUCAGGGAGGAAUAAAUUGACGUGUACCUGAAGAAUAAGCAUCGGCUAACUCCGUGCCAGCAGCCGCGGUAAGACGGAGGAUGCAAGUGUUAUCCGGAAUCACUGGGCGUAAAGCGUCUGUAGGUGGUUUAAUAAGUCAACUGUUAAAUCUUGAGGCUCAACUUCAAAAUCGCAGUCGAAACUAUUAGACUAGAGUAUAGUAGAGGUAAAGGGAAUUUCCAGUGGAGCGGUGAAAUGCGUAGAUAUUGGAAAGAACACCAAUGGCGAAAGCACUUUACUGGGCUAUUACUAACACUCAGAGACGAAAGCUAGGGUAGCAAAUGGGAUUAGAUACCCCAGUAGUCCUAGCCGUAAACUAUGGAUACUAGAUGUUGAACAGAUCGACCUGUGCAGUAUCAAAGCUAACGCGUUAAGUAUCCCGCCUGGGAAGUAUGCUCGCAAGAGUGAAACUCAAAGGAAUUGACGG